RNAcentral lists this ribosomal RNA (1343 nucleotides) under uncultured bacterium. RNAcentral describes it as "16S ribosomal RNA". It matches the Rfam family "Bacterial small subunit ribosomal RNA", at positions 28 to 1378 of the family's 1533-position model. The record is from RNAcentral.
GACGAACGCUGGCGGCGUGCUUAACACAUGCAAGUCGAACGGAAAGGCCCUGCUUUUGUGGGGUGCUCGAGUGGCGAACGGGUGAGUAACACGUGAGUAACCUGCCCUUGACUUUGGGAUAACUUCAGGAAACUGGGGCUAAUACCGGAUAGGAGCUCCUGCUGCAUGGUGGGGGUUGGAAAGUUUCGGCGGUUGGGGAUGGACUCGCGGCUUAUCAGCUUGUUGGUGGGGUAGUGGCUUACCAAGGCUUUGACGGGUAGCCGGCCUGAGAGGGUGACCGGCCACAUUGGGACUGAGAUACGGCCCAGACUCCUACGGGAGGCAGCAGUGGGGAAUAUUGCACAAUGGGCGGAAGCCUGAUGCAGCAACGCCGCGUGCGGGAUGACGGCCUUCGGGCUGUAAACCGCUUUCGCCUGUGACGAAGCGUGAGUGACGGUAAUGGGUAAAGAAGCACCGGCUAACUACGUGCCAGCAGCCGCGGUGAUACGUAGGGUGCGAGCGUUGUCCGGAUUUAUUGGGCGUAAAGGGCUCGUAGGUGGUUGAUCGCGUCGGAAGUGUAAUCUUGGGGCUUAACCCUGAGCGUGCUUUCGAUACGGGUUGACUUGAGGAAGGUAGGGGAGAAUGGAAUUCCUGGUGGAGCGGUGGAAUGCGCAGAUAUCAGGAGGAACACCAGUGGCGAAGGCGGUUCUCUGGGCCUUUCCUGACGCUGAGGAGCGAAAGCGUGGGGAGCGAACAGGCUUAGAUACCCUGGUAGUCCACGCUGUAAACGGUGGGUACUAGGUGUGGGGUCCAUUCCACGGGUUCCGUGCCGUAGCUAACGCUUUAAGUACCCCGCCUGGGGAGUACGGCCGCAAGGCUAAAACUCAAAGGAAUUGACGGGGCCCCGCACAAGCGGCGGAGCAUGCGGAUUAAUUCGAUGCAACGCGUAGAACCUUACCUGGGUUUGACAUGGAUCGGGAGCGCUCAGAGAUGGGUGUGCCUCUUUUGGGGUCGGUUCACAGGUGGUGCAUGGCUGCCGUCAGCUCGUGUCGUGAGAUGUUGGGUUAAGUCCCGCAACGAGCGCAACCCUUGUUCACUGUUGCCAGCACGUUAUGGUGGGGACUCAGUGGAGACCGCCGGGGUCAACUCGGAGGAAGGUGGGGAUGACGUCAAGUCAUCAUGCCCCUUAUGUCCAGGGCUUCACGCAUGCUACAAUGGCUGGUACAGAGAGUGGCGAGCCUGUGAGGGUGAGCGAAUCUCGGAAAGCCGGUCUCAGUUCGGAUUGGGGUCUGCAACUCGACCUCAUGAAGUCGGAGUCGCUAGUAAUCGCAGAUCAGCAACGCUGCGGUGAAUACGUUCCCGGG